Molecule: ribosomal RNA, 1618 nt
Filed under: Salmonella enterica subsp. enterica serovar Oslo
Lineage: Bacteria; Pseudomonadati; Pseudomonadota; Gammaproteobacteria; Enterobacterales; Enterobacteriaceae
Description: partial 23S ribosomal RNA
Rfam family: Bacterial large subunit ribosomal RNA
Source: RNAcentral
GUUGGGUAGGGGAGCGUUCUGUAAGCCUGUGAAGGUGGCCUGUGAGGGUUGCUGGAGGUAUCAGAAGUGCGAAUGCUGACAUAAGUAACGAUAAAGCGGGUGAAAAGCCCGCUCGCCGGAAGACCAAGGGUUCCUGUCCAACGUUAAUCGGGGCAGGGUGAGUCGACCCCUAAGGCGAGGCCGAAAGGCGUAGUCGAUGGGAAACGGGUUAAUAUUCCCGUACUUGGUGUUACUGCGAAGGGGGGACGGAGAAGGCUAUGUUGGCCGGGCGACGGUUGUCCCGGUUUAAGCGUGUAGGUGUGUGUUCCAGGUAAAUCCGGUUCACUUUAACACUGAGGCGUGACGACGAGGCACUACGGUGCUGAAGCAACAAAUGCCCUGCUUCCAGGAAAAGCCUCUAAGCAUCAGGUAACAUCAAAUCGUACCCCAAACCGACACAGGUGGUCAGGUAGAGAAUACCAAGGCGCUUGAGAGAACUCGGGUGAAGGAACUAGGCAAAAUGGUGCCGUAACUUCGGGAGAAGGCACGCUGACACGUAGGUGAAGUGAUUUACUCAUGGAGCUGAAGUCAGUCGAAGAUACCAGCUGGCUGCAACUGUUUAUUAAAAACACAGCACUGUGCAAACACGAAAGUGGACGUAUACGGUGUGACGCCUGCCCGGUGCCGGAAGGUUAAUUGAUGGGGUCAGCGCAAGCGAAGCUCCUGAUCGAAGCCCCGGUAAACGGCGGCCGUAACUAUAACGGUCCUAAGGUAGCGAAAUUCCUUGUCGGGUAAGUUCCGACCUGCACGAAUGGCGUAAUGAUGGCCAGGCUGUCUCCACCCGAGACUCAGUGAAAUUGAACUCGCUGUGAAGAUGCAGUGUACCCGCGGCAAGACGGAAAGACCCCGUGAACCUUUACUAUAGCUUGACACUGAACAUUGAGCCUUGAUGUGUAGGAUAGGUGGGAGGCUUUGAAGCGUGGACGCCAGUCUGCGUGGAGCCGACCUUGAAAUACCACCCUUUAAUGUUUGAUGUUCUAACGUGGACCCGUUACCCGGGUUGCGGACAGUGUCUGGUGGGUAGUUUGACUGGGGCGGUCUCCUCCUAAAGAGUAACGGAGGAGCACGAAGGUUGGCUAAUCCUGGUCGGACAUCAGGAGGUUAGUGCAAUGGCAUAAGCCAGCUUGACUGCGAGCGUGACGGCGCGAGCAGGUGCGAAAGCAGGUCAUAGUGAUCCGGUGGUUCUGAAUGGAAGGGCCAUCGCUCAACGGAUAAAAGGUACUCCGGGGAUAACAGGCUGAUACCGCCCAAGAGUUCAUAUCGACGGCGGUGUUUGGCACCUCGAUGUCGGCUCAUCACAUCCUGGGGCUGAAGUAGGUCCCAAGGGUAUGGCUGUUCGCCAUUUAAAGUGGUACGCGAGCUGGGUUUAGAACGUCGUGAGACAGUUCGGUCCCUAUCUGCCGUGGGCGCUGGAGAACUGAGGGGGGCUGCUCCUAGUACGAGAGGACCGGAGUGGACGCAUCACUGGUGUUCGGGUUGUCAUGCCAAUGGCACUGCCCGGUAGCUAAAUGCGGAAGAGAUAAGUGCUGAAAGCAUCUAAGCACGAAACUUGCCCCGAGAUGAGUUCUCCCUGAGACUU